Ctenopharyngodon idella (grass carp) is the source of this 1364-nucleotide long non-coding RNA. RefSeq lists it as uncharacterized. The transcript is spliced from 3 exons. The record is from RefSeq and is a predicted model, not a curated record. Lineage: Eukaryota; Metazoa; Chordata; Actinopteri; Cypriniformes; Xenocyprididae.
GUCACUCGCCCGUGAGUGUCUCGUCAUAUCCGUAAACAGAAAACAGUUGCUCCGGCUACUUUGACUUGUUUGCUAUGGGAGCGGCAUAGGUUAGUUGUUACAACGUGCGAGAAAGGUCGACAUGGAGCAGCUGAAUCUCCACCUUCCGGGGAAUCACCCGUUUUUAACAAACGCCGAACAGAGGAGAGUCUGCUUGCAGAAAGAGAAAGCGACAGAGCUCGUGAUCGGCUUGGCUUUUCGGAGAUAGCGAGAACUGAGGGAUUUAAAAUGUUGUAGGCUAAAAGUGUGGCGGAGAUGAAGUUUUUAUUACUCAACAGCAUGUGGAUCAGCCCAUAUUAGAUGUUGGUUUUAAUCUAAAAUGUCAAAGAGUUCUUCAAACAGCUUUGCUUCAAGUUGUGUUGAACAUUUCCAAUCCGGUUUGAGUGAAUCUCACGUCACACUGAUCAAUGUCACAGACAGCACUCGCUCAAACCCUCUGUGGUCCGGGGGGAGGAGCGGCCAGCUCUCCGAUUCAGCUUUUGACCACCAGAGAAGCAGAACUAAUGACAACAUUAGUCCGCCUUUGUGUACGAGGCCACCGGAUAUGGAUUAACCAAGCAAGAAAUAAUCUAGGAUUCUACAGUAUGCAUGAAUAAGCACAUGGGGUUUUUAAAUGUUUAGUUUUCGCCCCAAAAUGUGUUUUCCUUUUCUCUUUUUGGACGAGAUCCUGCGCUUUGUGGCUCUGAAGAUGAAGAGGAACUCAAGCAAGUGUGCUACUCAUUAAAUCGUUGAUUUGUUUAAUCUGCAGACCUCACACCAGACAGCUUUUCCUCGUGUGACCUUGUCUCGCUCUUUCUGUGUCUCUUUGUCUUUCUCGUAUAAAGAGGUUUUGAGCAAGUAUUUGACACUGGAACACAAACCCUCCAGCCUGUGCUGUCUAAUUAAAGUGACAUUGGUUUCUCUGUCUGAUGUGUCUAAUGAUGUGUUCGGUCAGGUCUGUGGUCAGUCUACAGACUUUCACAGGCGUUAAAACACACUUUCCCAAACCGCACUCUAAAAAUGCUGGGUUUUGACCCAGCAGUUGGGUUAAAUGUUUGCCCAACCUGAUGGGCAGUUUAAUUCAACUCAACUAUUGUUUAAAAAUUACUGUAUUGCUUGCUUAAAAUGAACCUAAAAUAUGUUGGAAAUGAACAUUUAUUAAUACAUUUAAUGAAUAAUAAUUAAACAAUAAACAUUUAUUAAAUUGCUUAUUAAUACAUGUUCACCUUUUGAUUAUUAUUGUUGCCUCUAGUAAUUAUGUGUCUGAUUUUUAAUUUCCAACCUAUUUUGGGUUCAUUUUAAGCCAGAAAAAAAUUGUUUUAUUUAUUUUUAACCCAACUUGGGUU